RNAcentral lists this ribosomal RNA (464 nucleotides) under uncultured bacterium. Its description in RNAcentral is "partial 16S ribosomal RNA". It matches the Rfam family "Bacterial small subunit ribosomal RNA", at positions 28 to 507 of the family's 1533-position model. The record is from RNAcentral.
GACGAACGCUGGCGGCGUGUUUAACACAUGCAAGUCGAACGGAAAGGCCCUGCUUGCAGGGUACUCGAGUGGCGAACGGGUGAGUAACACGUGGGUGAUCUGCCCUGCACUUCGGGAUAAGCCUGGGAAACUGGGUCUAAUACCGGAUAGGAGCCAUUUUUAGUGUGAUGGUUGGAAAGUUUUUUCGGUGUAGGAUGAGCUCGCGGCCUAUCAGCUUGUUGGUGGGGUAAUGGCCUACCAAGGCGGCGACGGGUAGCCGGCCUGAGAGGGUGGACGGCCACAUUGGGACUGAGAUACGGCCCAGACUCCUACGGGAGGCAGCAGUGGGGAAUAUUGCACAAUGGGCGCAAGCCUGAUGCAGCGACGCCGCGUGGGGGAUGACGGCCUUCGGGUUGUAAACUCCUUUCGCUAGGGACGAAGCUUUUGUGACGGUACCUAGAUAAGAAGCACCGGCUAACUACGUG